Molecule: ribosomal RNA, 253 nt
Filed under: uncultured bacterium
Lineage: Bacteria
Description: partial 16S ribosomal RNA
Rfam family: Bacterial small subunit ribosomal RNA
Source: RNAcentral
UACGUAGGGGGCAAGCGUUGUCCGGAUUUAUUGGGCGUAAAGAGCGUGUAGGCGGUUAGGUAGGUCCGUUGUGAAAACUCGAGGCUCAACCUCGAGACGCCGAUGGAAACCAUCUGACUAGAGUCCGGAAGAGGAGAGUGGAAUUCCUGGUGUAGCGGUGAAAUGCGCAGAUAUCAGGAAGAACACCAGUGGCGCAGGCGACGCUCUGGGCCGACACUGACGCUGAGACACGAAAGCGUGGGGAGCAAACAGG